RNAcentral lists this ribosomal RNA (497 nucleotides) under uncultured bacterium. RNAcentral's name for it is "partial 16S ribosomal RNA". It matches the Rfam family "Bacterial small subunit ribosomal RNA", at positions 28 to 507 of the family's 1533-position model. The record is from RNAcentral.
GAUGAACGCUGGCGGCGUGCCUAAUACAUGCAAGUCGAGCGAACAGACGAGGAGCUUGCUCCUUCGACGUUAGCGGCGGACGGGUGAGUAACACGUAGGUAACCUACCUAUAAGACUGGGAUAACUUCGGGAAACCGGAGCUAAUACCGGAUAAUAUUUCGAACCGCAUGGUUCGAUAGUGAAAGAUGGCUUUGCUAUCACUUAUAGAUGGACCUGCGCCGUAUUAGCUAGUUGGUAAGGUAACGGCUUACCAAGGCAACGAUACGUAGCCGACCUGAGAGGGUGAUCGGCCACACGUGAACUGAGACACGGUCCAUACUCCUAAGAGAGGCAGCAGUAGGGAAUCUUAGGCAAUGGGCGGAAGCCUGACAGAGCAACGCCGAGUGUGUGAUGAAGGUCUUCGGAUCGUAAAACUCUGUUAUUAGGGGAGAACAAGCGUGUAAGUAACUGUGCACAUCUUGACGGUACCUAAUCAGAAAGCCACGGCUAACUACGUG